RNAcentral lists this long non-coding RNA (448 nucleotides) under Hordeum vulgare. Its description in RNAcentral is "long non-coding RNA (HVUL_LNC002990)". Lineage: Eukaryota; Viridiplantae; Streptophyta; Magnoliopsida; Poales; Poaceae. The record is from RNAcentral.
CAAGUGCAAAGCUGUUGAGACCUGACAGUUCAGCCAGAUGUUUUGCUCAUGUUUCUUGCUCCUUUUUUCCUGAUGAUGAUGCAGAUGUUUUGCUGCUGGUGAUCGACGUGCACCAUUGCCCAUUGGUGUUCUGCGCAAUGGAAUCGUACAUCCUUCUGCGGUUUAGGGAGGCUUGCUAAUCGAUGUAUUUAUGGAGAUAUUAGUUUUCUGUAAGAAAUUAGGGACUUCAACCCUGCUGUACCUGUACUUUGGGCCAGAAAUGGCACCCUUGCGUGAAUAAGGAAAUAUGAACAUACGCAUGUCAUAUGUGUGUAGUUGAUCCCUCCGUUAGUUGUGGUUGGAUCCGGCGAUGACGGAGUUAGAACCUUCUCAUAGUUGGAUGUUGUAAAAAGCGGUGGUAAUUGUUGAUGUUGUAAAAAGCGGUGGUAAUUGUUGAUGUUGUACUNNN